This is a long non-coding RNA of Aricia agestis (brown argus), 555 nucleotides long. RefSeq lists it as uncharacterized. NCBI's taxonomy places the organism in Eukaryota, Metazoa, Arthropoda, Insecta, Lepidoptera, Lycaenidae. The transcript has 3 exons. The record is from RefSeq and is a predicted model, not a curated record.
UACAAAAAUACUAUUCUUAUACUUUAGGGCCAUAAUAUUAUUGUUGUUUCCAAUCAUUAUUAUUCCCUUAAUGCUGCAUAAAAUAUCUGCUUUAGUGUCAAUUUAAUAUCUUCAAAGGCUAAAGCUAAUGAGAAUUUAUGAUGGAAUUUAUAUGAAAAUAAUACUAGUUACAACCGCUACCGUAAUUUUGGCAACAAUGUUGAGGGUGGCUAUUCGCAUAAAAGGCCUUUGUAAAUGUGAAAACUCAGAGUUUUUAUCGUAAUUUUAUGUCGUUAGGGACCUACUACCUUCUAUAAAGACGUAAUGAACCUUAUAAAAUCAGGAAAUGUACUACAAAACCGACGAACGUCACGAUAAGUAGUAAAGCCCAGGAGAAAAUUCAACAUAAAUAGUUAUGCCAUUUUAGGGUUGUGUUGUGACAUUUCUGGUAACCGAAUCUUCGAUUCGAGUCUGAAGGUGAGUCGAGUCACCUCUGUAUUUGAGUUGUGUAUUAAGAAUAUUUUGGAUUUAAAGGUAUUCGAAAUGGAUGAAAAUUCAUAAAAAUAAUAUGAUUUU